Non-coding RNA from Gymnothorax javanicus (giant moray), 71 nucleotides. The record is from the annotation of a GenBank genome assembly. NCBI's taxonomy places the organism in Eukaryota, Metazoa, Chordata, Actinopteri, Anguilliformes, Muraenidae.
GUGACAGGCGAUGUGGUCAGCGUGUCUGACUCUCACUCGGGAGUCUGGGGUUCAAUCCCCCACCUGGGCCC